AUUACCCAAUAACUGGUAAUAUCCUUCUAUCCUUGAUAUGUUCAUCCUAACCGAUGACAGAUAUUUUCUUCCCCUGUUUUGAGUUUAUCCUUGAUAUGUUCAUCCUAACCGGUGACAAAUACUCUCACCUUCGGUAUUCUACCCAGUAAAAAGGUAGUUGUAAUCCAUAUGUUGUUCCCCAGAGAGUUAAUCCUUGAUAUGUUCAUCCUAACCGAUGACGGGUUUCCUUCUCUUUGGUCUUCUACCUAGUAACCGG
Molecule: long non-coding RNA, 256 nt
Filed under: Lathyrus oleraceus (garden pea)
Lineage: Eukaryota; Viridiplantae; Streptophyta; Magnoliopsida; Fabales; Fabaceae
Description: Pisum sativum (pea) long non-coding RNA (PSAT_LNC005655)
Source: RNAcentral